This is a non-coding RNA of Schistosoma mansoni, 45 nucleotides long. NCBI's taxonomy places the organism in Eukaryota, Metazoa, Platyhelminthes, Trematoda, Strigeidida, Schistosomatidae. The record is from Rfam.
AUCUAGCUGACGAGUUCCACAUAGGACGAAACGCGCUUCCUAGAU